RNAcentral lists this transfer RNA (72 nucleotides) under Stegodyphus mimosarum. It matches the Rfam family "tRNA". From Rfam's summary of the family: Transfer RNA (tRNA) molecules are approximately 80 nucleotides in length. Their secondary structure includes four short double-helical elements and three loops (D, anti-codon, and T loops). The record is from Rfam by way of RNAcentral. Lineage: Eukaryota; Metazoa; Arthropoda; Arachnida; Araneae; Eresidae.
GCCUUCAUAGUGUAACGGUUCGCACACUUGGUGCAUAUUCGAGAGGUCCAGGUUCGAGUCCUGGCGAUGGCA